This 774-nucleotide long non-coding RNA is filed under the name Homo sapiens (human). Its description in RNAcentral is "HSALNT0309973". The record is from RNAcentral. Lineage: Eukaryota; Metazoa; Chordata; Mammalia; Primates; Hominidae.
GACUGGUCCGUUUUGACAGAGUGCUGAUUGGUCCGUUUACAAACCUUUAGUUAGACACAGAGUGCUGAUUGGUGCAUUUACAAACCUUUAGCUAGACACAGAGUGCUGAUUCGCGCUUUUACAAACCUUUAGCUAGACAGAAAAGUUCUCUAAGUCCCGCCGGACCCAGAAGCCCAGCCGGCUUCGCUUCUCAAUGGCAGUCGCAGCGGGACUUUGUGGCACCUAGCCCGGGCACUCUGGCAGCCCACAGGGAGCUCAUCCCCCGAUCAAGCCCAGCAGGCGCCUGCCGGCUGCGGGGCCCGCCAAGCCCGCGCUCACCCGGAACCCACGCCGGCCCGCUAGCGCCGGGCGCGCAGCCUCGGCGGGCGGGCGCCUCGCCUUCCACACCUCCCCGCCAGCAGAGGGAGCUGGCUCCGGCCUCGGCCAGCCCCAGAGAGGGGCCCCCUCAGCGCAGCGGCGGGCUGAAGGGCUGCUGGAGCGCGGCCAGAGCGGACGCCGAGGCCGAGGAGGCGCCGAGAGCGAGUGAGAGCUGCUAGCCAGUUGUCACCUCUCACAGAGAGUAGCUUUGAGAUUUGAAGACAUUCCAUCAGCAUGUUGAUCAGAAGGAAAAAGGCGCCUUAGGAAAGAGACUAAACUGGUCUAUAAAGUUAUUUGAAGGAAUCAUCUUGGGAAGUUAGUUCCAAAAGAAAAACUUUCUAUUGCCGGAGGGCUAUUCAUUAUCUCUGAGGUUGGCAGAUUAGUGAGUUGCUGUUGUCUUUGAUAACAUGUCUAAAA